Molecule: ribosomal RNA, 1224 nt
Filed under: metagenome
Description: bacterial SSU rRNA
Rfam family: Bacterial small subunit ribosomal RNA
Source: RNAcentral
AAGGAAUGGUAAUACCGCAUGAGACCUAUGGCUGGGAUGCUGAAGGUGAAACCCGGGGACCGCAAGGCCUGGGGCAAGGAGAGGGUCCUGCGUCUGAUUAGCUAGUUGGUGAGGUAACGGCCCACCAAGGCAUCGAUCAGUAGCCGGCCUGAGAGGGUGAUCGGCCACACUGGAACUGAGACACGGUCCAGACUCCUACGGGAGGCAGCAGUGGGGAAUUUUGCGCAAUGGGCGAAAGCCUGACGCAGCAACGCCGCGUGGGUGAUGAAGGUCUUCGGAUCGUAAAGCCCUGUCGUCAGGGACGAAGGUUGCAUGUCUAAUAGAUGUGCAGCUUGACGGUACCUGGAGAGGAAGCCCCGGCUAACUCUGUGCCAGCAGCCGCGGUAAUACGGAGGGGGCAAGCGUUAUUCGGAAUUAUUGGGCGUAAAGGGCGCGUAGGCGGUGGUCUAAGUGAGAUGUGUAACCCCCGAGCUUAACUUGGGAACUGCAUCUCAGACUGGGGCGCUAGAGUACUGGAGAGGGUGGUAGAAUUCCACGUGUAGCGGUGAAAUGCGUAGAGAUGUGGAGGAAUACCAGUGGCGAAGGCGGCCACCUGGACAGUAACUGACGCUGAGGCGCGAAAGUGUGGGUAGCAAACAGGAUUAGAUACCCUGGUAGUCCACGCUGUAAACGAUGAACACUUGGUGUGGCGGGAGUUGACCCCUGCCGUGCCGGAGCUAACGCGAUAAGUGUUCCGCCUGGGGAGUACGGUCGCAAGGCCGAAACUCAAAGGAAUUGACGGGGGCCCGCACAAGCGGUGGAGCAUGUGGUUUAAUUCGACGCAACGCGAAGAACCUUACCUGGGCUUGAACUGCUAGGGACCGGUACAGAGAUGUGCCUUUUCGCAAGAACCGUAGCAGAGGUGCUGCAUGGCUGUCGUCAGCUCGUGUCGUGAGAUGUUGGGUUAAGUCCCGCAACGAGCGCAACCCUUACCCUUAGUUGCCAGCGCGUAAAGGCGGGAACUCUAGGGGGACUGCCCGGGUUAACCGGGAGGAAGGUGGGGAUGAUGUCAAGUCCUCAUGGCCCUUAUGUCCAGGGCUACACACGUGCUACAAUGGGUGGUACAAACCGUUGCGAAGUCGCGAGAUGGAGCUAAUCGGAGAAAGCCAUCCUCAGUUCGGAUUGCAGUCUGCAACUCGACUGCAUGAAGGUGGUAUCGCUAGUAAUCGUGUAUCAGAAUGAUAC